AUCUAGAUCUCCCACAUGUGUGGCAGGGGUUCAAGUAUUUGGGCCUUCUUCCACUGCUUUUUAGGCACAUUAGCUGGAAAUUAGAUAGGAAUCAGAGCAGCUGGAACUCUAACCUGCACUGACUUGAGAUACUAGCAUUGCAAGCAGUGGCUUAACCUGCUGCACCAUAGCAUCAGGCUCUGUACUUAUUCUUGACUAACACACACUAUUACAUUUCCUUUGUGUUACAAACAGUUCGCUGAUUUAUUAAUAUAAAUAUUCAGACCUGAGGAGUAGCCAAAGCAUCCAACUUGACUCAAGGUUUGUGGUAGGACUAUUUCUAAGAGUGACCCUCGGUCUUGUACACAUUGCUUCCCGCUGAAUGCAGUUGAAACCAGCCAAUGUGCAGGCCCAGAGGAAUGUUAUGAAGAUGCUCCAUGAAUUUCCCAGAAGUAUUUACAAACAGACAUAUGGUUGCCUCUGGGAAUUGAGGAAAUGUUCACGUGUAGAAGUCAGAAGAAGACAGAGAAAAAUCUUGUUCAAGGCUUGGUACCAUACCAUUGGGCUGUUGGCUAGGGAAUCGUUAUGCAGUUGGAGCAAAGAGAAGACUAUUGAGAGCAGGGGGAGUGGGAGUAGCAAGUAAAGGGGAUUCUCAAUGAGCCCUGGAAACCUGGAAAUUGAUCUGAUCCUCAAAGAGUUGCUGAUUGUCAGUAUGAAACAAUAUUUUGGUUUCAAUACAGUAUUGUAUUUGCACAGAAUGCUGCACUGUUUAGAAGUCUUUUGACUGCAAGUGACAGAAAGUAAAUUUAAAUAGUUUAAACCAAAAGGGGAAUUUGUUGGUUCACAUUGCCUAGGAGAUAGGUUCAGCUCAUAGGACUGAAGUUAUAGACUAGCACACAGGGUCUCAAGAAGUGGAACAAAGCACUUGAUCACAGUGUCAUUCUCUGACUCUUGCUACCAUCACCAUCCAUACAACCAGUUAUGUCUCAUUUUACACAUGCUUGACAGUUCUGCAGAUAGUUUCUCCAAAUGGCAACGUUCAGUCGAUGCAGUGGACAGAAUUUAUUUGCCCCUGCAUGCAUAUGAUAAUCCAAUGCAGGAAAAUUGCCUGGCCUGUUGAAUCAUCUUGUCCUCCCUUAACAUGGUCUAGAGAAAGAGGUAUUAUUUGGUUAGGCAGAGGUCAUGUGCCCAUACCUGUGGGUGACAUUUGAAGGUGAGGAGAAGGUAUUAUUUAUGUAAUAAAGGGUAGAAGAGUUUGCUGGGCA
RNAcentral lists this long non-coding RNA (1244 nucleotides) under Oryctolagus cuniculus (rabbit). RNAcentral's name for it is "lncRNA (ENSOCUG00000038447.1)". The record is from RNAcentral. Lineage: Eukaryota; Metazoa; Chordata; Mammalia; Lagomorpha; Leporidae.